Molecule: ribosomal RNA, 493 nt
Filed under: uncultured bacterium
Lineage: Bacteria
Description: bacterial SSU rRNA
Rfam family: Bacterial small subunit ribosomal RNA
Source: RNAcentral
GACGAACGCUGGCGGCGUGCUUAACACAUGCAAGUCGAGCGGUAAGGCCCUUCGGGUACACGAGCGGCGAACGGGUGAGUAACACGUGGGUGACCUGCCCUUAGCUCUGGGAUAAGCCUGGGAAACUGGGUCUAAUACCGGAUAUGACCUCAUGACGCAUGUUGUGGGGUGGAAAGCCUUGUGCGGCUAGGGAUGGGCCCGCGGCCUAUCAGCUUGUUGGUGGGGUGAUGGCCACCAAGGCGACGACGGGUAGCCGGCCUGAGAGGGCGACCGGCCACACUGGGACUGAGACACGGCCCAGACUCCUACGGGAGGCAGCAGUGGGGAAUCUUGCGCAAUGGGCGAAAGCCUGACGCAGCGACGCCGCGUGCAGGAAGACGGCCCUACGGGUUGUAAACUGCUUUUAUAACGGGAAUAAACCUUGAUACGUGUAUCAAGCUGAAUGUACUGUUAAGAAUAAGGAAUCGGCUAACUCCGUGCCAGCCGCCGCGGU